Non-coding RNA from Microcebus murinus (gray mouse lemur), 183 nucleotides. NCBI's taxonomy places the organism in Eukaryota, Metazoa, Chordata, Mammalia, Primates, Cheirogaleidae. The record is from RefSeq and is a predicted model, not a curated record.
AUGAUCCUGGAGGAUGAAGGUGUUUUGGGCAGCAUUGAGAAUUCUUUUCAGAAGUUCCAUGCUUUCUUGGAUCUCCUUAAGGAUGCUGGGCUGGGGCAGCUUGCCACAAUGGCUGGUAUAGAUCAGUCAGAUUUUCACUUACUAGGUCAUCCCCAGAUGAAUUCUACUGUUAGCAGUCUACCU